RNAcentral lists this ribosomal RNA (253 nucleotides) under uncultured bacterium. RNAcentral describes it as "partial 16S ribosomal RNA". It matches the Rfam family "Bacterial small subunit ribosomal RNA", at positions 524 to 776 of the family's 1533-position model. The record is from RNAcentral.
UACAGAGGCCCCAAGCGUUGUUCGGAUUUACUGGGCGUAAAGGGUGCGUAGGCUGCGCGGAAAGUCUUUAGUGAAAGCCAGGGGCUCAACCCAUGAAUCGCUAACGAUACUACCGCGCUUGAGGUCUCAUAGGGGGGCUGGAAUUCACGGAGUAGCAGUGAAAUGCGUAGAGAUCGUGAGGAACACCAAAGGCGAAGGCAGGCCCCUAGAGAGAAACUGACGCUGAGGCACGAAGGCCAGGGUAGCAAACGGG